Long non-coding RNA from Lycium barbarum (goji berry), 704 nucleotides. RefSeq lists it as uncharacterized. The transcript is spliced from 3 exons. The record is from RefSeq and is a predicted model, not a curated record. Lineage: Eukaryota; Viridiplantae; Streptophyta; Magnoliopsida; Solanales; Solanaceae.
UAAGGUCGAAAGGUCAGUGGGCUAGGCCCAACUCGGGAUCAACCGAGUUGGCCCAAAAAAAUAAAAAACGAAUUAAGGCCCAAAGGAGAGGGGUGGCCGGCCAUCUUAUGGCCCAAGCCCACAAAAUUAAUAAAUUUCCCAUGUGAUAAUUAAUAUAAAGGAUCAUUAAAUUGUCUUGAAACAUUUAGAAGUUUCAAGACAAUUGAGAAAGAGAGAAACAAGAGAAAGAAGAGCAAGAAUAAGAAGGCCAUUUUCGGCCAAGCUCUAGACCAAAAAAAAAAAAAAAAUUUUUUUUUUUUCAAAAAUCAUUUUCUACCAAUUAAAGGGUCCUUUACAACUUGGUGUAAUUAUUUUGGAAGGAAGAACACUUGUUUCUUCAAGUUGACAACUUGGUCAAGUGAAGAAGAUUGUAGAAAAAGAUUUUGGCGAACUUGAAACUUGAUUUUGGAGACGUGUAUGAAUCGGAAAAGGUCAACAGGUAGACAGAUUUGACUCUUAGAAGCUCCAUCAGCAGUACUGUGGCAGCGCUCCAGUUGUUCCGGAGCCUCAGUUUCUUGGUACUACUUUUGUGUACAUAUUCGGGCACGGUAGAACCGGUCCUUCUUGUAUAUGUAGAUGUACUUUGUUUAGAGGCUCGUAGAUAGAUAUGUACAGUCAGAUGUUUUGUACUUUUGUGGUCCUCGUCGUUGUGUAAUGUGCUAGCA